RNAcentral lists this ribosomal RNA (995 nucleotides) under uncultured bacterium. RNAcentral describes it as "bacterial SSU rRNA". It matches the Rfam family "Bacterial small subunit ribosomal RNA", at positions 356 to 1376 of the family's 1533-position model. The record is from RNAcentral.
GGGGAAUAUUGCACAAUGGGGGAAACCCUGAUGCAGCGACGCCGCGUGGAGGAAGAAGGUCUUCGGAUUGUAAACUCCUGUUGUUGAGGAAGAUAAUGACGGUACUCAACAAGGAAGUGACGGCUAACUACGUGCCAGCAGCCGCGGUAAAACGUAGGUCACAAGCGUUGUCCGGAAUUACUGGGUGUAAAGGGAGCGCAGGCGGGAAGACAAGUUGGAAGUGAAAUCCAUGGGCUCAACCCAUGAACUGCUUUCAAAACUGUUUUUCUUGAGUAGUGCAGAAGUAGGCGGAAUUCCCGGUGUAGCGGUGGAAUGCGUAGAUAUCGGGAGGAACACCAGUGGCGAAGGCGGCCUACUGGGCACCAACUGACGCUGAGGCUCGAAAGUGUGGGUAGCAAACAGGAUUAGAUACCUUGGUAGUCCACACUGUAAACGAUGAUUACUAGGUGUUGGAGGAUUGACCCCUUCAGUGCCGCAGUUAACACAAUAAGUAAUCCACCUGGGGAGUACGACCGCAAGGUUGAAACUCAAAGGAAUUGACGGGGGCCCGCACAAGCAGUGGAGUAUGUGGUUUAAUUCGACGCAACGCGAAGAACCUUACCAAGUCUUGACAUCCCUUGACGAUGCUGGAAACAGUAUUUCUCUUCGGAGCAAGGAGACAGGUGGUGCAUGGUUGUCGUCAGCUCGUGUCGUGAGAUGUUGGGUUAAGUCCCGCAACGAGCGCAACCCUUAUGGUCAGUUACUACGCAAGAGGACUCUGGCCAGACUGCCGUUGACAAAACGGAGGAAGGUGGGGAUGACGUCAAAUCAUCAUGCCCUUUAUGACUUGGGCUACACACGUACUACAAUGGCGUUAAACAAAGAGAAGCAAGACCGCGAGGUGGAGCAAAACUCAGAAACAACGUCCCAGUUCGGACUGCAGGCUGCAACUCGCCUGCACGAAGUCGGAAUUGCUAGUAAUCGCGGAUCAGCAUGCCACGGUGAAUACGUUCCCG